This 87-nucleotide transfer RNA is filed under the name Phycisphaerae bacterium. RNAcentral's name for it is "tRNA-Ser". It matches the Rfam family "tRNA". From Rfam's summary of the family: Transfer RNA (tRNA) molecules are approximately 80 nucleotides in length. The record is from RNAcentral. Lineage: Bacteria; Pseudomonadati; Planctomycetota; Phycisphaerae. RNAcentral also lists the same sequence under 1 other name.
GGACAGGUGGCGGAGCGGUUGAACGCGCUGGUCUCGAAAACCAGUAUGCAUUUCGGUGCAUCGUGGGUUCGAAUCCCACCCUGUCCG